GAUGGAUGCUGUGAAGGUGCUGCUGUGUUAAUCAUAGUGUUUAAAGUGGAAGACUGCAUCUUGCAUAAGUGAAUGAAUUUGCAGGCAUAUCCACGGCCUUAUAUAAACACAGUCCCAGGUUAAUCAGGAAGAUGGGAGGUGGGAGAAAUGCUGCAAAGAGCCUCUGGCUUCAUCACAGACCUUGAGCCUGCAGGGAACAGUCUGCAACAAGAAGCCUUUGACUGGACACCAACUGAUGCUUUGGUUUGUGAGGGAUUCCAUAAAAGGUCAUAUCUUUCUGCACCGAUCCUCCACUUGCCUCAGGUGGGAAUGCGCUGGAGCCUAUGUGAGCUCCUUGCACCAUCACACUAAUCUGUAGUGUUUGCACUGGUGAAAUGAGACCUGGGGCCAUGCUGACCUAGACCUCCUUUGCCAAAGAGAAGGUGCCUGAAGUUCAAGAGGGAGGCAGACCGGGAAGAAGUCCAACUUUCUGGGUGUGUAGCAGUUUUUUACGCAAGUAUCAUGAAAUGAAAUGCUCUGUCCUGAAAUGCUAGUUACUUAGCUUUAACUUUGUGGCCACAAAGGUUUGAGC
Molecule: long non-coding RNA, 571 nt
Filed under: Calidris pugnax (ruff)
Lineage: Eukaryota; Metazoa; Chordata; Aves; Charadriiformes; Scolopacidae
Description: lncRNA (ENSCPUG00000017167.1)
Source: RNAcentral